AAAUAAUUGUUUUUUUUUUUUUUAACAGAUCUACAAAUGGAUUUUCCUAGUCUGAAACACCAGGAACAGACUACACUGGUUUUCCCCAGAAAGCUUUUCAAAAUUUCUUUGGAUAAUAAGAUCUACGUGGAUUGCUAAUGAUUGGGAUUUCAAGAACACGCCUCUACACAAGGACUUUUUCUUUUUUUCUUUUUUUUUUUUUUUAAUAGAUCAUUACUUGAAAAUUCCUUCUAUAUGUGUUAUUGCUAAAGUUUACCUGGAUGUUGCUUUUCUUUACUCAUAUGAGUAAAGAUUAAUUUCCUUCUUAUUGUAAGCUUGUAAUGCUGAGACCAAUUUUGUAUUAGAAAAUGAACUAAUCCGACUCUUUUUUUUAAUAAUAUUUUUGAUAUUAUUUAAUAAUAUUUUGAUAAUAUUUUGAUAUUUUGAUAUUUUUUUCAAGGAUCAUCCUUGGAAUCUCUGUUAAUUCAGUCUCUUACCUUUCUCUGGCAAUGACUGUAAUACUGUGUUCAACAGAUCUGUCCAUGUUAGUUGAUGAACAGGAUUUUAGUAUUUCUCAGCAAAUGGGAGAGAAACUGUGGGCCAUGUACACUUCAAAAGUCAUUUUUCUGAUAAAUGUCUACAGUAGACAUACUUUUUAUUUGUUUGUUACUAUUUAUUUGUUAGUUUUUAUUUUGACCUUUUGGCUGCAGAGAGGGUAAUACCAUCUUGAAAUUUAGCAACAUCCAGUCAUUUAAUAUGUGUAUAAAUUUUUGGCUUAUUUUCUAAUCUAAGGAUUAUUUUCUAUGUUUUAGUUUCACUUAAGAUUUUGGGUAAUAAUUUGAGUAAAUAUUUAAGAAUAUUUAAAAAGAAGAUCUUUUUAUAUCAUUCAUAAAAAAGGAAAGAAGAGAGUAAAGUAUUAUUUACAAUUCCUCCUGCUAUGGAGAUUAUGGACAAGCUAUGGAGAUUAUUUGAAAUAAAUAAAUAUAUAUAUAUAUAUAUAUUUAUGGGCCUCAAAACUUGAGCUGUGCAGAUGACCAUUUCACAAUGAGAUAAAUUUCAUUAAGAUUUAUGACUGCUGCUUAGGCUUCCUGCUCUUCUAAAUGAAAGGGAAAAAAAAAAAAAAAGAACCACUAACUUCUCCAAAAUGUUUUCCUAAUGAUCUGCAGCUACAUUGAAGAUUUUUCCGCUCUUAGGCAUACUAAGUCUUUUCUCCAUACAAUAAUUUGUUCUCUGGGGAAUGAAAAAGUUUCUUGGAUUUUAAAGGUCGUAAUUUAUUCUUUGUCUCGCACAGAAUUUUGUGCAAUGAAGAUGUUUACAUGAAAAUGUUUUCUCUUUGUAGGGAAAACAAAGACUUCACAAAUAUGUAUGUUCAUCUAUGCAUGUAAAAAUCCCUAUCCUUUUGUCAAAAUCACAUCCAUGCUGCUAAUGCAUGUACAUAAGUGAGAUGUAUAGAGUUCAAGAAAUCACAUUUUACAGAGCUUCUCAACUCUGUAGUCUGGUGAAUAAAAGCUGAGAGGAUUGUCCAUUCCCUCAAAGUACACUGCCUUUAAUCUGAAGAUAUAUUCUUGAUCACAUUUGCAAACUGUCCUUUCUCUGCUUAAACAAGGACAGUUCUGACUCGAUUUUCAUUUCAUUGAGAUAAAGGGCUGUAUUUUCUCUUCUGAGUGCUAGAGGGCACUAUGACUACACCAGUGAAACUGACAAUAACUAGAAGUAAUUUGCUCCCAUUUCAGUACUUCAGUAAUAUUUUUCUUGUUUCAGUUCUCAUGCUAAUAUUUGCAUUUCUUGCAGAAACCUGUAUACAUCCUUACCAUGUCAGCAGAAAUUCUGUUUGUGUGAACUGAAACAAGGUAUCUCUCUUUGGAUUUUGGUACCAAUAGUAAAACAUGACUCCAGGUGUUUAAAUCUUCAUAAAACAAAGACAUGUUUCUGUGUUACAAGAGGGAUAUAUCCAUCUGCUUUUCUGCUCUGGGAGUUGAAUUAGCUUUUCAUAGAUUGCAGGUGAAGUUAUAGGAAACUUUAUGUAGUUCCAUCUUGUCUGUCAAAACAUUACAUAAAAAUCUUUUGUGUUUAUACUCUGAAGUAAGGCAUAUAAAGUAAACAUUUAAUUGUUGGAAAGGAUUGAGGUGGGGCAGAUGGGGUUAUUUUUUGUAUAAACUUCAAAAGAAAUUAUCAGUUUAACACAAUGUGAAGUAAUUUCACCAACGUAGCCAGUUACCUUUGUUUUACGGUAGCCUCAUGCUAAAUACAUGCAAGAAUUACUGUUGUAACUCCACCAGCUGGUGCAGUAUAGCUGCACAAAGAGAUUUUUUAACUACAGUUUGGAAUACUUGUUCAUUCUGAUGGUUAUAUGUCUUGUGCUGUCAUGCAUGUGUAAAUUGGGAAGCUACUUGUAGCCUAUGCAUCUCUACACCUGGAAUUCUUAAUGUGCAACAUUCAUGUAUAUAGAUCGUGUUUAGACCAACAACAUGUAUGGGUGUACAUUUGAAUUUCUGUGUGGCGUUUUCCUAUCCCUUGCAGUUGUAUGUGCAGUAUCAGAAAGUGUUGGGAUAUCUCUAAUUUUGUUGUGCCCUUCCUAACUCACAAAUUCAGCUAAGUGGACAUUACUAUAAGUUUUCUUUUUUUUCGUAUGAGAUGGCAGCCAUAUUGUCAGCUGUGGAGUAUACAUCAGAAAGUCCUGCAAAACUUCUAAGAAGUCAGCGUCUUUAAGAUGGAAGCCUUGCUUACCAGAAGUGAUUAUCGAGGAAAAAAUGUGGUUGAAAGAAUACGCUUUAAUUCAUCACAGUUUAUCUAUUUGCAUUCAAAUUUAAUAGAUGCUUAUAAUUUACACACUGCUGUUCUCAGAGAGAUAUUAGAUAAUGUUUAAAAAAUCAUACAUCUCCCGUGAAGUAUUUCUACCACUUUCGCUAACAGGAAGGAGAGGCUUAGUAUGUUCAUAUAUAUUUUUAUAGAAUUUUUAGUGAUGCUUUUCCAUCUUACCCCAGAAAACAGGGGAAAAGGGUAGGAUGCUAUUUGUUUUGCAAAGUUCUACACCCUUAAUCUUUCUCAUUGCUGAAGUUUUCAAAACUUCCUCAUAUGUACUACCAUCAUUCACAUAUAAAGCAAAGUUUGUAUUAACAAAUUAACAUCUAAUCUAAAUCUCCCCUACCUUAUGUGAUAGGACAAGAGAGAAGAGUUUUAAACUGAAGUUAUUACUAUCUCUCAAAUGAUUACAGUGAUGAGAAAUGUUGUCUAUGCUUCAGAACUUUGCUUCCAUACUCUAUUCCACUGUUUGAAUGGGAUGGAUAUAAAGAUAAUAACUACUUGUGUACUGGAACACCUUUAAAAUCAGUUAAUCCUUUUACAGAUAAAGUAGAAAACUACUUUUACUGCAAUACCCAGGAGUAUUUUAUUCAGUAUCUUUCAGAAGAAAAAAGUCUAUUUACAUUUGUAAUUUCAAGUCAAUAAUUGGUGAAUAUGUGUUUACAGUAUUCAAACAUCUGACCCAUGGCAGUCCUACAGGCUACUUUGUGGUCAGUGUUCCAAAGUACUGGAAUCUGAAGGAGGCACGUUCUCUGGUUUUAGAGCUCGGAUUUUUUCAUUCCUAUAGCCAGCAUCCUGCUUCUACGUUGUGUACUAGCUGUUUGACACAUGAUCUGCUAGUUAGUAGAUUUAAUUCCUGGCCUGAAUUAUGAAAUUAUUUUUCUGUGAGAAAUUAUGUAAGGAUGUAAGUAUAACUGUAAGUAUAACAGUGAAACUGAAUUUUUUGUUUGUGGUGGUCCUAUACAGUGAAAAAUCACAUAACAUAACUCACCAUUACAUUUUGUUAACAUGUAAUAGGUCAAUGUUGUUCUAUAUUUCUUUGCUAAAAUUAUGUUUUGGUAACAUUAAUAUUAAAAUCACAAAGAAAUAUUAGAUUGUUUCUGGGUUGAGCCCUCUCUAAGCACCUUUCAAAUGGUUUUCAAGUAAGUGCUAUUUCUUUUCUUAUCCUCAUUUACUUUAAUGCUACUUUAAUGUAGGGAAAAUACUGGUAUGUUUCUUCUUGUAUUGGCCUUUCAUUUCAGGUUUACCAAUUCCUUCGUGUCUACUAAACACUGAAUAGUUUGAAGAUAGCUUAUCAGGAAAAUACCAAAGAAAUAACUUUGUAUUAGUGGAAUAAAUUCUAGAAACCAGAAUCUAAAAUAAUAAAGGAUUAAGCAGUAGCAUUUGCUACAUGGCCAUUUUUAAGAUGAUAGUAUAUCAUGCUACAGUACUAUCCGUAGAUAAGCUUUUGUUAAACUUUUAAAAUAAUUUGAGUAGAUAAUUACUAGUGUUUUAGUAGUCUAAGGCAGGAUUGAUGGUAUCUUGAUUGGCUAUAGCAGUUACUAAAGUUCACAUUUUAUGACCUCCUUAAAAAUACUAAUUUAGAAGCUUAUGAAUUACUCUCUGGAGUCACCCUGAAUUAACAAAUACUGAGCUAUCUUUUACCUUUUAAAUCUCUUUGUUAAAUAAUUUCUACCCACUACUGAUUUUUAUAGUGUUUUUAAUACUGAUGUCGAACAAAAAGGGUGUGGCUGGUCACUCCUGCCUAUCCUUUGUGCCUGAUGGGUAUUUGUGUGAUAGUAUAGCGAUUGAGGAGCUGAGCUAUGCUUUCAAAAAUGAGGCAGUCAAACUGCAUUAUUUUCCUAAUUUACUUCACCAUGAGACUGAAAAGAAAUUUAUGUUGGGGAAUGCUGGAGCAGGAGUGAGCAGCUGGGAUCAGUAGAGCUCUUCUUCCUACAUUUUUCGUUCAACUUAAGUUACUUCUAUU
Long non-coding RNA from Gallus gallus (chicken), 4747 nucleotides. The record is from Ensembl. Lineage: Eukaryota; Metazoa; Chordata; Aves; Galliformes; Phasianidae.